This 490-nucleotide ribosomal RNA is filed under the name uncultured bacterium. RNAcentral describes it as "partial 16S ribosomal RNA". It matches the Rfam family "Bacterial small subunit ribosomal RNA", at positions 29 to 507 of the family's 1533-position model. The record is from RNAcentral.
AGUGAACGCUGGCGGUAGGCCUAACACAUGCAAGUCGAACGGCAGCACAGGAGAGCUUGCUCUCUCGGGGGCGAGUGGCGGGCGGGUGAGAAAUACAUAGGAAUCUGCUCAGUCGUGGGGGAUAACGUAGGAAAACUUACGCUACUACCGCAUACGACCUGCGGGAGAAAGGGGGGGAUCGCAAGACCUCUGGCGAGUGGGUGCGCCGAUGUUGGAUUAGCUAGUUAGCGGGGUAAUGGCCCACCAAGGCGACGAUCCGUAGCUGGUCUGAGAGGAUGAUCAGCCACACUGGAACUGAGACACGGUCCAGACUCCUACGGGAGGCAGCAGUGGGGAAUAUUGGACAAUGGGCGCAAGCCUGAGCCAGCCAUACCGCGUGUGUGAAGAAGGCCUUCGGGUUGUAAAGCCCUUUUGUUGGGAAAGAAAUCUUUCAGGCUAAUACCCUGGGAGGAUGACGGUACCCAAAGAAUAAGCACCGGCUAACUUCGUG